UUGAAACACCGGUUCCCUGUACCAUCACUGAAGUUAAGGAACGUCGAGCCUGGUUAGUUCCUAGAUGGGUGACCGCUUAGGAAUACCAGGUGCUAU
Non-coding RNA from Acanthosepion pharaonis, 96 nucleotides. The record is from the annotation of a GenBank genome assembly. Lineage: Eukaryota; Metazoa; Mollusca; Cephalopoda; Sepiida; Sepiidae.